UAUUAUUAACUUAAUAUCGAUCAAAACCUCAUCAUAAAGUGUCAAUUAACGACUAACUGCCGUCGAGCAAGUGAUUAACAGUUCAAUUAAACAUUAUUUAAUCGAUAUCGUUUAUAAACGCCAUUGAUUGUUUACAUGUGGGUUUUACUUAACUGUUUUAAAGUAACAUUCAGAUAUGUCUUUUUUUCUUUUGUUUUGUGUUUAUGUACAGAUUAGUUGAUAAAAUAACUAUAAAAAUAAUCAUUUGUGUUGCCUUGGAAAUUAGUAUAAUAAUAAUUAUUUGUGUGUUAAUUAGUAUGAAAUUUUGUCACUUAAAUCUGUUAUUUAUUUUAAAGUUUAAGAGUAGGUAGACUAGGUAGUAAAUUUAUUACCCAUGUUGAUGGUUUGCUUUUAUGAAAAAUAUGCUAUGGAUAAUAAUCUCAUUAAUAACCAAAACAUUUAGGCAUAUGCUUUUAAAUAUUACUUUAUUCCCAGUGCCUUUCAGUAUGACAAAAAAAGUGUAUAGCUAGUUCAUACGUCGGUGUCGGUACCCAAUCUCAAUACCUAAUGUACCUAUUGAUAUAAACAACACAUAUAUUUUUUUAACUAAAGUGAAUGUGGCUAUAAUGGGUUUGUGUUUAUUGUACAGUCAUCUGCAUUAAUAUGUUACUCUUCAAAGGCCGCAAAAAUAUGGAACACGCUCGUAUGGCUCUACAAAUAAGAUCGUGUCAGAGGGCCUACCAUGUUCGACCGACGUGUUGCCUCCCUGUCACACUUACGUACGAAUUUACAAGUGCGACAGAAAGGCAACACGUCGAACGUAGUUUGCGGUAGGCCCUCUGAUAUAUUUGCGACCUUCGUUGUGUAACAUAUUAUUGCAUGUAACUGUACCUACAUUAUGACAAUCAUGUUCAUGUUUUUUUUAGUUUUCAUCAGUUAACAGUUAUUAACUUUGAAUUAAAAGUAUGGGAAUCUGUUAACAAAGGAUAACCAUUGUUUCGAGUCUCUAAAAGCUGUGGAUCAAAGGUGAAAAGGUUCAAAAGAUUGCUUGGGAACAUGGGAACACGCCCGGUUACAUAAUUUUGAAAAGUCGAUAGGUCCGCUGCAGGAUGAAUGAGACCCGGCGUGUCGGAGGAUCGUAACGGGGUCAAUGGCCGCGCUUAGCCAAUUCAGCACGAAUUUCGCGAUAUCCUUGGAAGGCUUUUCAGUUUGGCGCCCAUUCAAUUUAAGGAGCUCCGUGUGCUAUUUUAGGAAUUUCUGGGUUAUAUAGAUCAGAAAUUACGUCAUAGUAACGAAGCUUUCUAACAAUCCUUUGCCAUAAAAGAUACCUGCGUAAUAAUUGUUAGAAAAUAAACUAUAUGUUUUUACAUUUGUUACAAAUUGCUUGUUCGUGAUUUGCAUAUGCUUGCCUAACAUAUUAUUGGACUGGUUUUCUUGGCAUUGUUAUAAUAUAUUUUUAAAAACUCUAUUAUUUUAUUAGCAAUUUAUCACUAGUAGACUAUAAUGACCAGAGCUCGAACAAAUCAUGCGGAUGACGCAAAAGUGGCGUAAUUUUGCACACAGGUGAUGUUUGUAUUUAAACCACCGCCGUGUGACAUGUCGCAUUUUUAAACAUUUUAGGCAAAUAGCGAAAUCUUAGGUUUGCCGUUUGCUUCCGUUGCUAUACUUACUGUUUUUGCAUAUUCACCAUCAAUGCAUUUCUUAAUAUUUGCUGCUAUCAUAAAAUUUGUAAGGUUCAUAUUAGAUUCACUUUGCCCCUUUUUUCCACGUUUCCGACAUGUUUGGUUGUCUCCAAAUGUACUUCCUAGAACGGAAAAUUGCAACAAUAUUCUAUUAAAGAUGACAUUUUAUAGCGUCUUUUUAUACAAUAAGUAGUAAAAAUAAAUCCUACCUACAUAUAAUCAUAUACAUAUAACAGCUAAACAAUAACAAAGUCAGUUUAUUGUUCCUUGGAUUGACAAUGUCAGUCAAAGACGUAUCAUUUGAUAAAGAGGUUGAUAAAUAAUGUGGUAAUUGUUUAUGGGUGAUUCUCGGAGCGUUUCAACCGCUUACAGUCUCCUGUUCGCAUUAACCUUUCUUGUUCAAAAUAACCAAAACUGAUCUGACUGACAGCGGUUGAAAUGCUCUGAGAAACACCUAUGAAAAAUAAAAUACUAUUUGAAAUCACCUAUGAGUGGCUUGACGUCAUCGGCAUGAUUUGUUCGAGCCCUGCUAAUGACGUUGACGUUUGCAUUGCCACCAAAGAGCAUAUAAUCACUAGGUUCGUUCUUGCCACCAGCGUAUGAAAGGUGCAGGUAAGGAAUCUCCAUAUACCAAAAAGUGUCAUCAAAAAACCUUAAAUAGGUGGCGCUUCAAUACCUAGAGUACUUGAACAAAAAAUCAAAUCAUAGACAGCGCAAUUCACUCCGUCAAUAACGCCUAGGUUCUUAGCUACUCUAGCGCUACUCUAGAGAGAUUUGGAACUAUUAUUUAUAGCUGACAGCUGGACACUUUUGCAACAGUUCUACCAUAAGAGAUGCCACUCCUCUUAAUUCCACACUCCAUACACCAGCGGCUGUAGCACGGUCGCAUUUUUAUCACAUGUCACUAUGCGUGUCAAGUUGUAACAAGUAUGUAACUGCGAAAGUGACAGAAAUAGUGACAAGUGAUAAAAACGACCGUGCUGCAGCCGCUGGUCUUAAUCUGACCAAAGAGUAUAAGUAAGUAUAUUAGAAUCUGGUCCAAAGAAUAACCAACCUAUUUCUUUGUUUUUGUGUUCUUAAUUAAAAAACUAUAAUAAGUUGUGUCGUUAUCUGUACCGCAAAAAAUGCACCACGUAAUUCGUGCUCAGCGCUCGAAAUGUCACUCCAAAUAGGAUUCCGACCAAGCGCACGGUUCAUAGAGAUGUAAUACUAAAUACUACAGUUGCUGGUCGCUAGUAGAGACGCACAGUCGUUCCGUACGCACGCGCUGAAACAUUCCCUGACUAACCAUAGUGCACGAUUUCAGUCGCCGUGAAUUUAAAAAAAAACUUUGAUUAGUGUUUGACAUUUUGUUGUACAUCUGGUUAUAUAAAAUCACAAUGACUUCGCCGGCCAUCACGAAGUCGCCUGACAACCAGAAGGGAACCAAGUCUCCGACACACUCCGCGGGCGCCGCCGCCACCGAGCGGCCGGCCUCGCGCGCCGAGUCAUCCUCCACCUCCGCCGCGCCACCACCGUCCGAGCCCUUCAGCUGGCUGCGGAUCUUCAAGCUGGCAGACCUUAUGAUGAAACAGGGCUGCUAGACAAUACUACUGAAGUUUAUGUCCUUUCUAACGGAUUUACCAGGCGCAACUUUUUAAUUCAUCGUCGAGGAGAAUAAUUCAAUAUGAUGCAUCAAUUCAUUCCAGUGUAUUAAAAUACUCAAAAUAGUACCUUCAGAUUGGGUAAUUCAAGUCAGGAUAUUAACUAUCAAUUAAAUAGCAAUAAAUGUAGGAAGUAGAGUAGGUAUAUCAUUAGCACGAACAAGUUCUCAGUUUCCAUAAAUACUAGAGCUCUUUGUUAAUGAUUAAUAUGAUAAAAUAUCGUUACUUCCUUGGCAGUUCGCACGCAAUGAUAUACUUAAGGGGGUUUAAGUAAGUAUGUACAAGGACUUUUUUGUUUCAUAUGAUGUGGCUAGUCCUUUUAGAUGUAGGUUCAUCGCGCAAUUAUGUAGCAUAGACGGAAUAAUAAAUAGUAUUUAAUAGUGUCAAAAUUCUCGAAAUACCCAUUAAUGUUAACUUCUGAGCAGCUUGUAUGUUUGACGCUAAUUUUAACCUCGUGUGUAUGGAUGGCACAUCAAAAUUAAUAACAUACCUACUCUUUGGUCUUGAGCUUUCGACUAUGUUCCUGUUGUUCAUAAUUGCUAUUCAUUUAUAUGUAUUAUAGUGUAAUAGAAUGAAACGAUUAACAAGUAUGUGUAAGCUAACUGUACAGAUUUUUAAGUUACAAAAGUGUGGGAGAGAAAGGGCCACUUUGAACGUCAUUAUUUCAUAGGAAUAAUGUUUAUGGUGGCGCUCCACACGUUGUCACUUGCCAAAUCAGUGCAAAGUUAGCUUGGACUGACUAAGUUCCAUAUUGUGUUUGAAAUAUUUUAAAGUAAUAUUUAUAAAUUUAUUUAUACUGACAUUAUAUUAUCACUGAAAAAUGUUACGAAAUCAAUUGUUUAAAUUAUAAUCGUAUAAGAUCGUUUAAAUAAAUUACUCGAAGUUG
Long non-coding RNA from Cydia pomonella (codling moth), 4190 nucleotides. RefSeq lists it as uncharacterized. The transcript has 2 exons. Lineage: Eukaryota; Metazoa; Arthropoda; Insecta; Lepidoptera; Tortricidae. The record is from RefSeq and is a predicted model, not a curated record.